AGAACGAACGCUGGCGGCAUGCCUAAUACAUGCAAGUCGAACGAGAUCUUCGGGUCUAGUGGCGCACGGGUGCGUAACGCGUGGGAAUCUACCCUUGGGUUCGGAAUAACAGUUGGAAACGACUGCUAAUACCGGAUGAUGACGAAAGUCCAAAGAUUUAUCGCCCAAGGAUGAGCCCGCGUAGGAUUAGCUAGUUGGUGAGGUAAAGGCUCACCAAGGCUACGAUCCUUAGCUGGUCUGAGAGGAUGAUCAGCCACACUGGGACUGAGACACGGCCCAGACUCCUACGGGAGGCAGCAGUAGGGAAUAUUGGACAAUGGGGGCAACCCUGAUCCAGCAAUGCCGCGUGAGUGAUGAAGGCCUUAGGGUUGUAAAGCUCUUUUACCCGAGAUGAUAAUGACAGUAUCGGAGAAUAAGCUCCGGCUAACUCCGUGCCAGUAGCCGC
Molecule: ribosomal RNA, 445 nt
Filed under: uncultured soil bacterium
Lineage: Bacteria
Description: bacterial SSU rRNA
Rfam family: Bacterial small subunit ribosomal RNA
Source: RNAcentral